Oryza glumipatula is the source of this 213-nucleotide non-coding RNA. The record is from Rfam. Lineage: Eukaryota; Viridiplantae; Streptophyta; Magnoliopsida; Poales; Poaceae.
GUGAAACGUAGCCAUAAAUUUACGUGUCUAGAUUUGAUCGUCUGUCUUAUUUAAAUUUUUUUAUGAUUAGUAUUUUUUCUAUAAUUAAUAUUGUUCUUAGAUUAUAAAAUAUGGAUAGUGUUUUGUGCUGACUUAUUUUUUAUAUUUUUUAAAAAAUAAAUAAAUAAGACGGACGAUUAAAGUUGGACAUGAAAACUCAUGGUUGUGUUUAUU